GGGAGUGUAGCCCAGUUGGUAGAGUGCUUGCCUAGCAUGCACCAGGCCUUGGGUUCUAUCCCCAACAUUCCAU
Molecule: transfer RNA, 73 nt
Filed under: Mesocricetus auratus (golden hamster)
Lineage: Eukaryota; Metazoa; Chordata; Mammalia; Rodentia; Cricetidae
Rfam family: tRNA
About the family: Transfer RNA (tRNA) molecules are approximately 80 nucleotides in length.
Source: Rfam by way of RNAcentral